This 633-nucleotide ribosomal RNA is filed under the name Pteridomonas danica. RNAcentral describes it as "partial Bacterial large subunit ribosomal RNA". It matches the Rfam family "Bacterial large subunit ribosomal RNA", at positions 26 to 740 of the family's 2925-position model. The record is from RNAcentral. Lineage: Eukaryota; Dictyochophyceae; Pedinellales.
GAAUGCCUAGGCUCUCAGAGGCGAUGAAGGACGUGAUAAGCUGCGAUAAGCAAUGGGGAGUUGCACAUAAACUGUGAUCCAUUGAUUUCCGAAUGGGGCAACCUGUAUAUUCCUUAGGGAAGGCUAACGGGGGGAACUGAAACAUCUAAGUACCCGGAGGAAAGGACAUCAACCGAGACUCCGUUAGUAGUGGCGAGCGAACGCGGACCAGGCCAAUGCCAAUUCUCUUUUUAACUGGAACCAUCUGGAAAGUUGGGCAUAAGUGGGUGAUAGCCCCGUACAGGUAAGAAAGAGUUUUGGAUUCGAGUAGGGCGGGACACGUGAAAUCCUGUCUGAACAUGGGGGGACCACCCUCCAAGCCUAAGUACUCCUCAACGACCGAUAGCGAACCAGUACCGUGAGGGAAAGGUGAAAAGCACCCCGACGAGGGGAGUGAAACAGUACCUGAAACCGAACGCCUACAAUCAGUUGGAGGGUCUUUACGGCCUGACAGCGUACCUUUUGUAUAAUGGGUCAUCGACUUGGUCUCACAAGCAAGCUUAAGCCGUUAGGUGUAGGCGUAGCGAAAGCGAGUCUUAAUAGGGCGAAUGAGUUAGAUGGAUCAGACCCGAAACCGAGUGAUCUAGGCAUGAC